This 427-nucleotide ribosomal RNA is filed under the name uncultured bacterium. Its description in RNAcentral is "partial 16S ribosomal RNA". It matches the Rfam family "Bacterial small subunit ribosomal RNA", at positions 354 to 796 of the family's 1533-position model. The record is from RNAcentral.
GUGGGGAAUUUUGGACAAUGGGCGCAAGCCUGAUCCAGCGACGCCGCGUGGAGGACGAAGGCCUUCGGGUUGUAAACUCCUUUUGGAGGGGAAGAAUAAAUUGACGGUACCCUCUGAAAAAGCCACGGCUAACUACGUGCCAGCAGCCGCGGUAAUACGUAGGUGGCGAGCGUUACUCGGAAUUACUAGGCGUAAAGCGUAUGUAGGUGGUUAGAUAAGUCUAUGGUGAAAUUUCCUGGCUUAACUGGGAAGGGACAUAGAUACUAUCUGGCUUGAGUGUGGGAGGGGGAGACGGAAUUCCUGGUGUAGCGGUGAAAUGCGUAGAUAUCAGGAGGAACACCGAUGGCGAAAGCAGUCUCCUGGCCCAAUACUGACACUGAGGUACGAAAGCUAGGGUAGCAAACAGGAUUAGAAACCCGGGUAGUCC